This is a long non-coding RNA of Ictalurus furcatus (blue catfish), 4176 nucleotides long. RefSeq lists it as uncharacterized. The record is from RefSeq and is a predicted model, not a curated record. The transcript has 3 exons. NCBI's taxonomy places the organism in Eukaryota, Metazoa, Chordata, Actinopteri, Siluriformes, Ictaluridae.
GGUUGUGUGACUGUACAUCAUUCCCUUCAAAUGCUACUGAGCUUUAAAUUAUGGCUAUUUUGUGUAUGACCCCAUUCUAUAGUGAAAUACAUAUCUAAUUUACAUAUGAAUUAAUAGCUUACUUUGUUAAAUAUCAAAAAUCUAAGAGGUGUGCAUUAUAGCUGACACCUAGAUGAACACUUUCCAGUUGGUUGUGUGACUGUACAUCAUUCCCUUCAAAUGCUAUUGAAGUUAGAAACGUGUAUAACAAUGUCGUAUGUAACUUUAGAGACGGUCCCUUAAUUUCCGCAUAUCCGCGAAUAUCGACCAUCCAACGUCAAACCAAUUUUAUGCCAGUAUGUUUUGUUGCUAUGGCCAGUGGUUACCAUGACAGGCAGAGCCACCGGUUUAACUGCUUGCUAUCAGAAGUUCUUUAUUUACACAGGACUGUUUUGGAACAGAAUGCAGGUCGCUCAGCUGUUCAAGGGACGUCACUGUCUCUCUUACUGCGCAUGCGCGAAAAUUGCGCGCAUGCGUCGUUUACAUCAUGCGCGGCUGAUCCGGUAGUGAUCGGCCUUGUCUCAAAAACACUACGCAUUAGACGUACAUCCUAGGUAAUCGUGGAAGCCAUUAUUCCGCGCCCUAUAUAUUGCACUUAUAUAGAUAGUAGGGUGUUGUUUGAGAUUUAGCCCACUUCACUUAGUGGAGCUGCUGCAACUGUCUGUAACAGCAACAACGCACAUAGGUUCAGAGGCCAGAUCGCUUUGUGGUGCUUGUAGACACAACACAUCGCUUGAUUCGUGUCUUCACAACGUCGGUUGACAACCCACUUGACUUAAUCAAUGCACAGACAAAUAUCGGUAUCUUCUGCCUUUAAUUCCCACUGCCCUGGAACAGCUACAGGCCACCUGGAUCUCCACCAAGCUGCAUGUCUGCAGUACAUACAUCCUAGUACAAACCCAAUUCCAAAAAGGUUGGGACGCUGUGUAAAAUGUAACUAAACAGAAUGCAGUGAUUUGCAAAUCUCAUAAAUCCAUGUUAUUCGUAGAAUAUAGAAAGCAUCAAAUGUUUAAACUGAGGGACUGUACCAUUUUAAGGAAAAAAUAAGGUAAUUUUGAAUUUGAUGGCCGCAACAUGUCUCAAAAAAGUUGGGACGGGGGCAACAAAAAGUAAGCGUUACUAAAAAAGAAACAGCUAGAGGAACAUUUUGCAACUAAUGAGGUUAAUUGGCAACAGGUCAGUAACAUGACUGGGUAUAAAAAGAGUAUCUUAGAGAGGUAAAGAUGGGAUGAAAUCUGGAUGGAAGCUCUAAAACGUGUAUAUACCUUUCAGCAUUGAUGGUGCCUUUCCAGAUGUGCAAGCUGCCCAUUCCAUAGGCACUAAUGCACCCCCAUACCAUCAGAGAUGCAGGCUUUUGAACUGAGCGCUGAUAAAAGCCGGAUGGUCCCUCUCCUCUUUAGUCCGCUUUAGUUUAGAGGACGCGGAGUCCAUGAUUUCCAAAACGAAUUUCAAAUUUGGAUUUGUCUGACCACAGAACAGUUUUCCACUUUUCUUCAGUCCAUUUUAAAUGAGCUUUGGCCCAGAGAAGAUGGCGGUGUUUCUGGAUCAUGUUUACAUAUGGUUUCUUCCUUGCAUGAUCAAGCUUUAACCAGCCUUUGUGGAUGGCAUGGUGAACUGUGUUCACAGAGAAUGAGUUCUGGAGGUGUUUCUAAGCCCAUGCAGUGAUUUCCAUUACAGAAUCAUGCCUGUUUUUAAUGCAGUGCCACCUGAAGGCAACAGGCAUGCAAUAUUAAUUUUCACCCUUGUUCCUUGCCCACAGAGAUUUCUCCAGAUUGUCUGAAUCUUUUGAUGAUAUUGUGUAAUGUAGAUGAUGAGAUAUUCAUAGUCUAAACAAUUUUACGUUGAGGAACAUUAUUCUGAAAUUGUUCCACAAAUUGUAGACUCAGUUUUUUGCAGAUUAGUGAACCUCUGCCCAUCUUUAUUCUGAGAGACUCUGCCUCUAAGAUACUCUUCUUCUUUUUUUUCAUACAUAAUCAUGUUACUGACCUGUUGCCAAUUAACCUCCAGGUGUUUCUUUUUAGUAACACUUACUUUUCCAGCCUUUUGUUUCCCUGUCUCAACUUUUUUGAGAUGUCUUGCAGCCAUCAAAUUCAAAAGUACACUGUAAAAACUGAGACUGGGUUUAAUUAAUAUUUAUUAAAUAAAUGAUAGUAACCUAUACAUAAUAAAAAAGACUUUAUGCAGUUUUGAAUCACAUUGAGUGGAAUUAAACAAAUGGUCGUUAAUUAAUGGUCGACUAAAUGUCACAAUUUCAUGUGACUUCUCCCCCAAGUCUUACACCGUAGGCUGUAUAGCCUAAUGCCCCCAUCUCUUAUCUAUUUUUACCAAUUUUCGGGAGAAAGGUCAGAAUGUUUUGUGUCUUUUUAUCUUUUGGAACAAAGUGCGCUAUUUCCUCUUUUUUAUUUGGCUUUAUUUUCAUCGGCGGUCUGUUGUUGUGUUUUGUGUGGUGCUGUGCUAAUGUUAAUCCCAGUUUCACUGAGGUUCUCUCAGCUCCGUAGCUUACGCUUCAUGUCUCCAUUCAUGGUACAAUGAGGCCACAGCAAGAGAUUCAGAUGGUAUAACCGCCCUUUUCAGUCUUUCUCUGUCGCCUUGUAGGAGAAUGCUUUCAAACAGUGGAUUUACACUGAACUGUGUUUGUGGAAGUUGGUCUGAGUCUUGUCCAGCUGGCAGAGAUGGAGGCAAAGCUCUGAGUAAUAGUUGAUGACCGAAUUGAGAAGUUGGUCCUUCCAUCAGGAAUCCCAUCCACUGUGGAGGAACUUCACACUGUUGUGGAGGAGACCUUUGGAAUUUCUGAUGAGUUCAGUCUCCAGUAUUUGGACUCAGAAUUUGAAGAUUACUUUACUCUUCAUAAAAGUGACCAAAUUAAACACAAAGACACCGUAAAGGUUGUUCACACUGCCCCGAUUCUUCUUAACUUGCUUCCUCUUGAUGAAAGUUUGGAUCAAAGGUCCUUUGGUCAAAAGUCAACUGAGUGAGUCUGCAUCAAAUGCAGAGUCAUCUGCUGGAACAUCGUCUUCACAGGACACCAUUAUUCUGCCUAGGCGAAAUACCACAGAACGAUGCCAGCCAUGGCCAAAGCAGUUCCCUAUUCCACAGUUUGCAUAUGAAACUGGGAUGUACUUUGAAAGAGCCACUGAAGAAUACAAGAAGAACGGAACACUUCUGACUACCUCAAAGGUCAAGUUAGACAUAAUUGAGAAGCUGUCUGAAACUAUAUACACAUUUACAGCUUAUCCAUCAAGUGCACAUAUAAGUGAUGCUGAGUUUGCAUUUUCAAUUCCGCUUUCCCUGAUGUGAUCCAUUUGGCUUUUCUAAUUCAUUCAACUCAUGAUUAAGAGCAGUUGACGGUUAAGGAUGUUGGUCAUCGACCCAUUUCUAGGAGUUUGGUUUCUUAAUCUUAUUACUAAUCUUAUUGUGUUGUACAUUCUAUGGACUUAAAAUGUGAAUUUAAGAAAGAUAAUUAUAAGCUGAAUGUCAUAAUGUGGUUGUGGUAUGUGUUAUUAAUGAAUGAAAAUGAGAGCACCACUAAUAUCAAAGUGUAGAGUGGUGGGAAAAGGUAGGCUUUCAGUAGUUAGUGAUUAGUGUGAGACCCGUGAAGGUGAAAUUUUUAGUAGUUGAGGUACUUCUGAAGAAAGAGAAUGGCAAAUUUUCUGUCAUUGCUGCUAUAAACAGUAUUGGCUAAACCAGGAAAAUAUUUCUGCAGCCAUACUGUUAACAUGCUGUCUAUGUAAAUACAUAUGUGAGUAUAAUUAUAUUCUGGAUUUUGUACACACUAUACUGUAUAUACAUUUAAGAUGCAAAUUUUAAUAAAGACUACUGAGUGACUCUAAGUAGCUGAAUAAUGAUAUGUUACCAAAAGAGAAAAGAAGGGUCUGGAAGAGUACUGAGUGAGGAUGAUGAUAAUCAGAAACCCUGAAGUAUGACGACGGCCUGAGAACAUGCAAAAGUGAUAAGACUACUCGAGCAAGAGAUUUUCAAAUGUCUUUUUUUAUAUAUAUUUGCAUCCACUGCAUACUUUAAAUAAACCUGUAUUUUUCUCCUUAUUAUCUGUAUUUUCUUCACCUGUCUUGCUGUUGCUGUGACACCCAAAUUUCUCCAACUGGGGAUUAAUAAAGUAUUAUCUUAUCUUAUCUCAAG